This 501-nucleotide ribosomal RNA is filed under the name uncultured bacterium. RNAcentral's name for it is "partial 16S ribosomal RNA". It matches the Rfam family "Bacterial small subunit ribosomal RNA", at positions 28 to 523 of the family's 1533-position model. The record is from RNAcentral.
AUUGAACGCUGGCGGCAUGCCUUACACAUGCAAGUCGAGCGGCAGCGGGACCUUCGGGUUGCCGGCGAGCGGCGGACGGGUGAGUAAUGCCUAGGAAUCUGCCUGUUAGUGGGGGAUAACGCGGGGAAACUCGCGCUAAUACCGCAUACGUCCUACGGGAGAAAGCGGGGGCUCUUCGGACCUCGCGCUAACAGAUGAGCCUAGGUCGGAUUAGCUAGUUGGUGGGGUAAUGGCCUACCAAGGCGACGAUCGGUAGCCGGCCUGAGAGGGCGGACGGCAACACAGGGACUGAGACACGGCCCAGACUCCUACGGGAGGCAGCAGUGGGGAAUUGUUCGCAAUGGUCGCAAGCCUGACGACGCAACGCAGCGUGGGGGAUGAAGGUCUUCGGAUUGUAAACCCCUGUUGGGUGGGACGAACACUUUCGUGGUGAAUAUCCACGGAGGCUGACGGUACCACCUGAGGAAGCCCCGGCUAACUCUGUGCCAGCCGCCGCGGUAA